This 488-nucleotide long non-coding RNA is filed under the name Pogona vitticeps (central bearded dragon). RNAcentral's name for it is "lncRNA (ENSPVIG00000017153.1)". The record is from RNAcentral. Lineage: Eukaryota; Metazoa; Chordata; Lepidosauria; Squamata; Agamidae.
CUAUAUUUCAAUGCAUAUGUUCUCUGUCCUCAGACUCUGAACGCUUUCUCAGACCCAAAAGCUGCAAAGACCAAAGGGCUAUCAUGGAAGAAGAAGACAAAUAAUCUGAAUUGUUUAGGUUCCUUUCCGUACCUAUAUCUCCCCUUCCUACAAACUUUUUUUUCCAAUUGCCUGUAUGAGAGGAGAAAGCAUUAGUAAUGAAAUGCUGCAGUUUUCUGUAAUCAUACCCUUCAUUUCUCCAGGAAGGAACAUCUUUGGACCAAAAUCAGGGUCAUGAUGGAAGCUCGGCAGGAGGAAAUCCAGAAAGAAGCCAAAGGCAUCAGGAGAGCUCGCCCCAGCAAGAAGGAUCUUCUGUGGGCAGAAGUCCAGAUCAUCAGGCAAAAUUGGUAAGACUGAGCAUGGCAUUGAUUAGUUGCCCUUGGCACUCCUUCAUCGCAUACCUAGAGUUGGAAAUAUGGUGAUUCUAACUUGUUUCAAUUAAUAAUCAU